GCGGGGCCGGGGUUUGUGUGUGCCCGGGCCGGGGGCGGCGGCCGGGCGGGCUGUGUGAGGGGUCGCAGCGCCGCUGAGCCUCUCCAGCUCCAUAGUCAUGGAAUCGGGUCAUACGGAGGUUGGAAGCGUGUCCAGGGGAGCGAGGAGCUGUGAAUCCUGUGUUGCGGCUGCCUGAGCUGGAAGGCUUUCAUGGGCGAGUACAGUGCUUGGAUCGCCAGAGCUGUCGCUUCAACAUCCUUCAGCAGCACUAAAGCAGCUUUGAAGAAAACCACUAGCCAAGAACUCGCUGGGAAAGGCCAAGUCAGGAGAAAAGGAAAGGCUGAUUGCAGGAGAGUGUGAUGUGUAUACAGGGAGAAGUAAGUCAGAAAAAGUUGAGCUGCUUGAACGUCCAAGUUAAACAAGGGACAGAGCGCAGCUGAACAACCCCGUUCCUCGACAUGCAUCGUCCUAACGCCUCCUCCUGACCCGACGCCACGGGAAAGGGCCUCCUCAGCCGUAUCUGUAGGAAUUUGCCAUGUGUUUAGGCAGGAAGGUGAAGUUGGUAGCUACGGCUCCCAGAAGCAGCUCACUAGAAGAAAGAAAAGAACAAAAACGUCGUUUCAGUCGGGACGGACAAAUGACAAGACUCUCCUUGAAGAGUUAAGUUAAGCGCACUCUUUAUUACAAACUUGGCUUUCUUAUAUAUCUAAUCUUUUGUUCACGCUCCGUUCACGCGUUCUUUCUACGCAUUCAAUUGGUUAGGUGACAUAGCACACGCGCUCGUAGCUACAAUACGAUUGGUUAUUGAAAUCCUGUUCACAUUGCUCAAAAUCUGGCUUUCUCACAGCCUAACUCUCGUUGUUCUCUCAAGCAAUCUUCUUCUUUCUCCUUUUUGUUACGUUGUCCUUAUACGACGCAACUCGCGGCCUUCUUAUGGGUACACUGCAAUCUCUGUCUCUUCUGUCAAGGGGUCUAUGGACCCGCUGUAUCCCCGAACAACUCCCCCUUUUUGUAUUUGUGCUACAAAUGCCGCCCCCAUCACCUGCUGCAGGGCCCUUUGCAGUAGGGAGAUGAGACAUGGCACCAUCAUUAGCACAACUACAACUAUCAACAAUAUUAU
Chroicocephalus ridibundus (black-headed gull) is the source of this 1099-nucleotide long non-coding RNA. RefSeq lists it as uncharacterized. The transcript is spliced from 3 exons. Lineage: Eukaryota; Metazoa; Chordata; Aves; Charadriiformes; Laridae. The record is from RefSeq and is a predicted model, not a curated record.